AACGAACGCUGGCGGCAGGCCUAACACAUGCAAGUCGAACGCCCUAGCAAUAGGGAGUGGCAGACGGGUGAGUAACACGUGGGAACGUGCAAUUCGGUUCGGAAUAACUCAGGGAAACUUGAGCUAAUACCGGAUACGUGCGAGAGCAGAAAGAUUUAUCGCCGAAGGAACGGCCCGCGUCCGAUUAGCUAGUUGGUGAGGUAAUGGCUCACCAAGGCGACGAUCGGUAGCUGGUCUGAGAGGAUGACCAGCCACACUGGGACUGAGACACGGCCCAGACUCCUACGGGAGGCAGCAGUGGGGAAUAUUGGACAAUGAGCGCAAGCCUGAUCCAGCCAUGCCGCGUGAGUGAUGAAGGCCCUAGGGUUGUAAAGCUCUUUCGCCAGGGACGAUAAUGACGGUACCUGGAUAAGAAGCCCCGGCUAACUUCGUGCCAGCCGCCGCCUAA
RNAcentral lists this ribosomal RNA (448 nucleotides) under uncultured bacterium. RNAcentral describes it as "partial 16S ribosomal RNA". It matches the Rfam family "Bacterial small subunit ribosomal RNA", at positions 29 to 522 of the family's 1533-position model. The record is from RNAcentral.